Molecule: ribosomal RNA, 419 nt
Filed under: uncultured bacterium
Lineage: Bacteria
Description: bacterial SSU rRNA
Rfam family: Bacterial small subunit ribosomal RNA
Source: RNAcentral
UGGGGAAUAUUGGGCAAUGGGCGCAAGCCUGACCCAGCAACGCCGCGUGAAGGAAGAAGGCUUUCGGGUUGUAAACUUCUCUUCUUGGGGACGAAGAAAGUGACGGUACCCAAGGAAUAAGCCACGGCUAACUACGUGCCAGCAGCCGCGGUAAUACGUAGGUGGCAAGCGUUAUCCGGAUUUAUUGGGUGUAAAGGGCGUGUAGGCGGGAAUGCAAGUCAGAUGUGAAAAGCUAUGGGCUCAACCCAUAGCCUGCAUUUGAAACCUGUAUUUCUUGAGUGCUGGAGAGGCAAUCGGAAUUCCGUGUGUAGCGGUGAAAUGCGUAGAUAUACGGAGGAACACCAGUGGCGAAGGCGGAUUGCUGGACAGUAACUGACGCUGAGGCGCGAAAGCGUGGGGAGCAAACAGGAUUAGAUACC